RNAcentral lists this transfer RNA (90 nucleotides) under Candidatus Peribacteraceae bacterium. RNAcentral describes it as "tRNA-Ser". It matches the Rfam family "tRNA". From Rfam's summary of the family: Transfer RNA (tRNA) molecules are approximately 80 nucleotides in length. Their secondary structure includes four short double-helical elements and three loops (D, anti-codon, and T loops). The record is from RNAcentral. Lineage: Bacteria; Candidatus Peregrinibacteriota; Candidatus Peribacteria; Candidatus Peribacterales.
GGAGAGAUGGCUGAGUGGUCGAAAGCGCACGACUCGAAAUCGUGUAGGUUCGCAAGAGUCUCGGGGGUUCGAAUCCCCCUCUCUCCGCCA